GGGGGCGAACAGCUUCGACGCGGAUCGUCCGGGAAGAGAUGGCGGGUCGAGCCCCCGUGCCUCGUAAAAACGCGGGAAAUCAUCACAACUGCCAACAAUAACUACGCACUAGCCGCUUAAAGCGGCUACGUCCGCCCUGAACCCGCCUGCGGGGAGGGAGCCGGGCGUCAAACUUCAGCAGGCUACCCUUGCCGGGCAGGCCCUGCGCGGCAGCGGGGAAAACAAGGGGCUGGUCACAACGGUUCGCGCUUUCGGAGGGCCGUUGCGGCGAGAAAAAACCCGGAAGACACACCCGUAGAGAUCUCUUUUGGGACAUCGGCGGACCGGGGGGGCAGUUCCCCCGCGCCUCCACCA
RNAcentral lists this transfer-messenger RNA (354 nucleotides) under bacterium. Its description in RNAcentral is "JAJZIM01 sp021810565 Standard tmRNA". It matches the Rfam family "transfer-messenger RNA". From Rfam's summary of the family: Bacterial tmRNA, also known as 10Sa RNA or SsrA, is named for its dual tRNA and mRNA-like properties. Its role is to liberate the mRNA from a stalled ribosome. RNAcentral also lists the same sequence under 1 other name. The record is from RNAcentral.